UCUGUCACAGCACACAACAACGCCCAUCGACUGACUCUCGCGCGCGCGGCCCAGGAGGAAGCAGGAGGAUGAACGGCGGCAAGAAGAAGUUCGGCGGCGGGCGGGUGCCGACGGGGACCCCCUCGCUGGCGUGGUCGUCGGUGGUGGUGGUCGCCUCCCUCCUCGCCGGCGCCUCCAUCGUCCACAACAUCUACAAGCCCGACAUGACUCUACCGCCGGUGGAGGUCGCGGACAGCAACGGAACCGGAGCCGGCAGCGGCGAUCGCAAGGAGAGCUGAGCUAGACCCGACGGCGCCAGCGCCGGAGCUCAAGGCUCGAGAGGAUAGAUAACUAUGGGCCACAGACACAUGUGGAGUUCUUUGUUUUGUAAUCUUCAGACAGACGUGAACAAAACAAUUCGAGCUUUUAUGUACUCUGCUUAAUCUGCUGUGCUGUAUUACUGUUCUUUGUGUGGUGAUUGAUUGAUUGUAUGUGUUAUUAUGGGGCUAGGGCCAUAUGAUAUUUUCUAUAGUUUACUUCUAAAGAAUAUUUUUA
Long non-coding RNA from Triticum dicoccoides, 534 nucleotides. RefSeq lists it as uncharacterized. The record is from RefSeq and is a predicted model, not a curated record. NCBI's taxonomy places the organism in Eukaryota, Viridiplantae, Streptophyta, Magnoliopsida, Poales, Poaceae. The transcript has 2 exons.